Non-coding RNA from Potamilus streckersoni, 77 nucleotides. Lineage: Eukaryota; Metazoa; Mollusca; Bivalvia; Unionida; Unionidae. The record is from the annotation of a GenBank genome assembly.
GACCGCUCCGUUGGCUUAGUGGUUAGAACGUCCGUCUCGGAUGCGGGAGGUCGUGCGUUUGAUCCCCGGCCGGGUCA